Molecule: transfer RNA, 71 nt
Organism: Linderina pennispora
Lineage: Eukaryota; Fungi; Kickxellomycota; Kickxellomycetes; Kickxellales; Kickxellaceae
Rfam family: tRNA
About the family: Transfer RNA (tRNA) molecules are approximately 80 nucleotides in length. Their secondary structure includes four short double-helical elements and three loops (D, anti-codon, and T loops).
Source: Rfam
GCGUCUGUGGUCCAGAGGUAUGAUUGCUCCCUGCCACGGAGUAGACCCGGGUUCGAUUCCCGGCGGACGCA